UAAGGAAUAUUGGACAAUGGGCGCAAGCCUGAUCCAGCCAUGCCGCGUGAAGGAUUAAGGUCCUCUGGAUUGUAAACUUCUUUUAUCUGGGACGAAAAAAGGGAAUUCUUUCUCACUUGACGGUACCAGAUGAAUAAGCACCGGCUAACUCCGUGCCAGCAGCCGCGGUAAUACGGAGGGUGCAAGCGUUAUCCGGAUUCACUGGGUUUAAAGGGUGCGUAGGCGGGCAGGUAAGUCAGUGGUGAAAUCCUGGAGCUUAACUCCAGAACUGCCAUUGAUACUAUCUGUCUUGAAUAUUGUGGAGGUAAGCGGAAUAUGUCAUGUAGCGGUGAAAUGCUUAGAUAUGACAUAGAACACCCAUUGCGAAGGCAGCUUACUACGCAUAUAUUGACGCUGAGGCACGAAAGCGUGGGGAUCAAACAGGAUUAGAUACCCGCGUAGUCC
Molecule: ribosomal RNA, 444 nt
Filed under: uncultured bacterium
Lineage: Bacteria
Description: bacterial SSU rRNA
Rfam family: Bacterial small subunit ribosomal RNA
Source: RNAcentral